Long non-coding RNA from Ictidomys tridecemlineatus (thirteen-lined ground squirrel), 607 nucleotides. The record is from Ensembl. NCBI's taxonomy places the organism in Eukaryota, Metazoa, Chordata, Mammalia, Rodentia, Sciuridae.
AAAUAUUAUAAAAUAUUAUAAAAUAUUAUAAAAUAUUUUAAUAAAUAAGCAGGGCUCUAGAAAAAAUUGGGAUUUUGCAGGCAUCCAGUCUGGAAUGCAUUGAAGUGUCUGCCCUUCCCCCACCUCAGCUAGACCUUUCAAUUCCAAUUUGCUAAUUUGGGAAUAGAGCAAAGAAUUUGGAGGGAGAUAAGGAACUGUCUGUCUCUUUAAGAAGAAACUACAAACACAAGGAAGCAAAUGUACUGUAGGAGACUCUAAGAGGUUAAACAGUGACAAAAAUGCUUGGCUGUCAUUGGAGGUGGUGUGAGGAGUAAAACAGGCCAUUGUCCACUGGUGGGAACCAAGCUGCAAAUCCGAAUUCAUGGAAACUGGUCUCCAGAUGUGCUCCUGUCACCUGCAUCCAGUGGUCCUGAUGCAUCAACUUGAAGCUGAAAUUUGAUUCCCUAGAAAUGUUAUUUGGGCCACUUUGUUCAGAUAUGACAGAGAUGUGUCUGGAAGUGGAUUGAAUCAACCCAUUCCUGUCGCAUCCUGGAUUUUUAAACCAUGGGAAAACCUGAAUAAACUUUCUAGCUUCACUUGUUUGUAGUUUCUUGCUUUUAGUUGACUU